This 302-nucleotide unclassified non-coding RNA is filed under the name uncultured fungus. RNAcentral's name for it is "partial contains small subunit ribosomal RNA, internal transcribed spacer 1, and 5.8S ribosomal RNA". The stretch from base 1 to 73 matches the Rfam family "Eukaryotic small subunit ribosomal RNA", at positions 1759 to 1831 of the family's 1831-position model. Lineage: Eukaryota; Fungi. The record is from RNAcentral.
GCAAACUUGGUCAUUUAGAGGAAGUAAAAGUCGUAACAAGGUUUCCGUAGGUGAACCUGCGGAAGGAUCAUUACAGAGUUAUGCCCUUUAAAAGAGCAGACCUCCAACCCUAUGUGUAUUUACCUUUUGUUGCUUUGACGGGUCGCAAGGCUUUUUUCAAGGCUUUCCGCUGGCUUCGGCUGGUGCGUUUGCCCGUCAGAGGAAACUUUAAACUCUGAAUUAUGUGUUGUCUGAGUUACAAAACAAAUGUUAAAACUUUCAACAACGGAUCUCUUGGUUCUGGCAUCGAUGAAGAACGCAGC